GUAGGUGACAAGCGUUGUCCGGAAUUAUUGGGCGUAAAGCGCGCGCAGGCGGGUCCUUUAAGUCUGAUGCGAAAGCCCACGGGCUCAACCGUGGAGGGUCAUUGGAAACUGGGGGACUUGAGUACAGAAGAGGAAAGCGGAAUUCCAAGUGUAGCGGUGAAAUGCGUAGAGAUUUGGAGGAACACCAGUGGCGAAGGCGGCUUUCUGGUCUGUAACUGACGCUGAGGCGCGAAAGCGUGGGGAGCAAACAGGAUUAGAUACCCUGGUAGUCCACGCCGUAAACGAUGAGUGCUAAGUGUUAGGGGGUUUCCGCCCCUUAGUGCUGCAGCUAACGCAUUAAGCACUCCGCCUGGGGAGUACGGCCGCAAAGGCUG
RNAcentral lists this ribosomal RNA (374 nucleotides) under uncultured organism. Its description in RNAcentral is "partial 16S ribosomal RNA". It matches the Rfam family "Bacterial small subunit ribosomal RNA", at positions 527 to 896 of the family's 1533-position model. The record is from RNAcentral.